UACGAAGGGGGCUAGCGUUGUUCGGAAUUACUGGGCGUAAAGCGCACGUAGGCGGAUAUUUAAGUCGGGGGUGAAAUCCCGGGGCUCAACCCCGGAACUGCCUUCGAUACUGGGUAUCUUGAGUUCGGAAGAGGUGAGUGGAAUUGCGAGUGUAGAGGUGAAAUUCGUAGAUAUUCGCAGGAACACCAGUGGCGAAGGCGGCUCACUGGUCUGAUACUGACGCUGAGGUGCGAAAGCGUGGGGAGCAAACAGG
RNAcentral lists this ribosomal RNA (253 nucleotides) under uncultured bacterium. RNAcentral's name for it is "partial 16S ribosomal RNA". It matches the Rfam family "Bacterial small subunit ribosomal RNA", at positions 524 to 776 of the family's 1533-position model. The record is from RNAcentral.